AGCUCUUAUUGACUCCCAGUGAUGAAUCAGAAACAGACUCUUGGAAAAGAGAAAUCAAGUGGCAGCCCAGGAGUUUUGUUUAGUGAAAUCAUUCCAGUUGAAUUCUGGUGUCCAAGAUCAUGAAGAAUAUCCAAGAAAAAAAAGUUGCCUGGAUUUAUAGGAAGUCUAAAAAACCUUGGCUUUCCUUUGCAUAUCUGGGUUUAUGUGAUGCACACUAAUCCAACAAAUGGAAGAAAUUAUGCAUCAUGUCAGAGAGCUUUCAGAAAGAGAAUUUGGAACAAAGAAGUCGAUACAUGAAGCAUUCAUAAAGUCAAAGGGAUGGUGAGAUAACCGGUGAG
Long non-coding RNA from Heterocephalus glaber (naked mole-rat), 338 nucleotides. RefSeq lists it as uncharacterized. Lineage: Eukaryota; Metazoa; Chordata; Mammalia; Rodentia; Bathyergidae. The record is from RefSeq and is a predicted model, not a curated record.